This 6862-nucleotide long non-coding RNA is filed under the name Salvia miltiorrhiza (redroot sage). RNAcentral describes it as "long non-coding RNA (SMIL_LNC009365)". Lineage: Eukaryota; Viridiplantae; Streptophyta; Magnoliopsida; Lamiales; Lamiaceae. The record is from RNAcentral.
AACUGUACAGAGCAUUUAUUAUGAUAGAGAAAAAAAACAUGGUCAGACUGAAAUGCAUUUAUGAUGAUAGAAAAAAAGCAUGGUCAAAUUGAAAUUGUACACACAAGUUUAGCUAGGCAACCCCAUAAAAUCUGCAUUGAAGAUUUGAUCUUGAUAUUUACAUGUAAUAAGAACACUAUUUGAAGAACUUUGAUGAUGGUUUUGUGGGUCUCGAGGUAAGCUGCAGAAAUACAUGUAAUACAAGUGUAAGAAAUUUGCCUAUAAAUAUAACCUGCAUUUUGCAAUAAAUGCACAAGCAACAAAUAUGUCUUCCAUGUUUUCUAUGUUGAAAGAUCUUCAUCCUUCUGUAACAACAUCAGUGAUAAAAGUGAGAGUGGUUCGUGCUUAUGAAGUGCCUUUCAAUGGCAAUGCUGCUGAUAUUAUGAGUUUGGAGUGCAUAUUUCAUGAUGCAGAGGUGAGCAUUUGUGUAUAUUUCAUAAGAUAAUUCUAUGAUGACAGAUAAUGUAUGUAUGUGCUGAUAAUUUCCUUUUUUCUUUGUAGGGUUCAAAAAUUCAUGCAUCUUUUGGAAGAGCUGUGCUAAGAACUAUUGCAGUGAAUAUCAGUGAAGGGAACUGUUAUGUCAUGCAGAAAUUUUACACAAGGCCAAAUCAUAUGCGUUAUAAAACGACUAAUCAUGCAUUUCGCUUAACUAUGACUCAGAAAACUCAAAUUUAUCAAGUGAUUGAUGAUGAGUUUCCAUUUCAUAUGUUUUCGUUGAAGCCAUUUCCUGAAAUUUCAACUAUUGAGAAUUUACAUGAUGAAGCACUGUUUGGUAAUGUUUUGUAAAAUUUGUGCUAGCAUUGUUUUUUUUAAGAAAAUUUCGUGAUGGGAGUUUAAUAUGUUUGUUGCAGAUGUUGUAGGAGUUGUUGUUGACAGUGGAGGUGUGGUUAAUCAGCCUAACGCAAAGAUGAUGGAGUUAAAGUUGGAAGAUGAAAAGUAUUAUUCAAUCAUAUUGUCUAUUCUUGAGCUUCUGUAAGUUAUGUUAUUUUCUGUGAAGAAUGAUAUGAUUUUAUUUGAAAAUUGCAGUCAGAAUGUUAUCAUAUGCACCCUUUGGGAAGAUUUUGUUGAUCAGUUUUUGGCACAAGUUGAUGGAUAUGUUCAACAAAUUCCAGUUAUUGUGGUUCAGUUUUGCAGGCCACAUCUGUACAAGGGUAUGAGAAUGUAUUUAUUAAAUUUAAUGUAUGGUUUAUAUUUAUUGAGUGUUAUUUUUAUUGUGUUUGAAUUACAUCUAUAUGCAGGCCAAGUGCGCAUAUCUACAUCAUUCAAUGUUUCUAAAGUCACACUAAACAAGGGCCUUCCAGAGAUCAAUGAAAUGAGGCAGAGGUUAAAGUUAUUACCAGUUAAUUUUCUAUAUUUUUUUGAAGUUUUAAUGUGACAAGGUGACCAAAACUCAAGUUCAAGUGUUUUUAAAUUUUCUUGUGUGUUUUAGGAUUUUUGGAGUGCAAAGGUUCAUUGAGACUAUAAACUUAACUUUUAAGGUUGAGCCUAAGAAAUUGGUGGAUGAGAAUGAAAUCAUGGAUGUGAAGAGCAUUGAAGAUGUUUUCUGCUUGGAGGUUUGUUUAUCUGCAGCAUGCUCUUAGUUAACAUUAGUUUUAUACUAUAGUAUGUGUAUUUAAUGAGUUAAAAAACCUGUAGUUUUUAUCAUUCUGUGAUGCACAGGAUGGGUGUUACUAGAUUUGUGGUAGGAUUGAUCAUAUUGAAUCAAAUGGUGAUUGGUUUUACUUGGCCUGCAAGCGUUGUUCAAAGAAAGUUGUGAAGGUGGAGCAGAGGUUCUUUUGUGAUCGUUGUAACAAAUACGAUGGGGUGCCUUCGAAGAAGUAAGGUUUAGAUAGUUUGGUAUUGAAUAUAAGCUAUUUGUGAUUAUUAAUUAUUAAUUAUUAUUAUUUGUUGGCACAGAUUCAUGAUUAGGGUAAAUGUGGUUGAUGCAACAAGCAAUGCAACAUUGCUACUGUGGGAUAGGGAGUGUGUUCAACUCAUUGGCAAAAGAGCUUGGGAAGUUGAUGUUUCUACUGCUGUGGUAAAUUUAAAGUGUUUUUGCUGCUUGGCAAAUAUAUUUUUGAGAUUGUUGGAUAAACAUCUUGGGAAGAUGAAGUUUUAAAGUUCUAUGAGUUCCUGUUUGUGUGUGCUUUAAUUUGUUAAGUACUAUUUAUUAUUUCAGGUGGAUGGAAUCCCUAAAGAAAUAGAAAACAAACUGCUAGAGAAGUUUGUUUUAUUCAAAGUGCAAAUGAGAAAUGAUGCUGACUUCCGGUUGGAUCAACCCUAUACUAUCAACAAAGUUUGUGUGACUCCUGAAAUUGUGGAGAAGUUUGCUUCAAAAAUCAUGGAAAGUCAGACUGAGAACUCUGCAGCAAAUGAGUCACUUACUGAUUUAGCAUUUGGAUAUGAUGUGAAGGUAUACAUUAUUCAAUGUUUAUUUCGUUUGUGCAUAUGAGCAAUCCUGUUAGUUACAUUGUUUUAUAAAAAUAACUAAUUGGUUAUAAUUUCCUACUGUAGGAAUCUCAAAGUCAGCCUAUCAAAACAUUCCCUGAAGAACUUCAUGAGAUUUUGGAGAAAGAUGAAGAACUUGAUGACAGUUUGGAGAGAGGAGCAUGGAUUACUGAAUCUGGGAAAAGAGGGCUGGAGGAGUUGUCUGAUGAUGGUGUGUUUCUGAAGAACAGUUUGGAGAGAGGAGCAGGGAUUAUUAAAUCUGGGGAAAGAGGGCUGGAGGAGUUGUCUGAUGAUGGUGUGUUUCUAAAAAAAUUGAAGAAGGAGAAGGAUGGUGUGUUUCUGAAGAAAGUUAAGAAGGAGAAGGCGGAUGGUGUGUUUCUAAAGAAAGUGAAGAAGGAGAAGGAGUGAUCCUUAUGAGACAGCCCUUGAUUUUUUGAGAACUUAAUUACUUAGUGGAUGCUUAUCUUACAGUCUUUGUAAUUAUUAAGUACUAAUAGUUUCUGUAGUGUUUGACUUUUGAGCUCAAAGCUUAUAGUAUGUGGUGUUUAACGAAACCAACACCUAAACUAUAAGACAUAAAGUGUAGACUAUACCUAGUAACGUCGAUCGGAAAGAGUAAUAAUCGGAGAAUUGAACACGAGAGCAAAAUGUAGCUGUUGUAUUCAAAAGCGAGUGAUAGCGUAAAAAAUGUAAUACACGAGCACGAGGCCUAUUUAUAGAUUACAAUUGAGGGUAAAAAGGUAAAAUCGAUGCUAGUGCAUGCGUUUGACGUGAUUGAAGGGUAUAUCAGGAAUUUCAUCUUCACGCGGGAAAAUCCUCCGCGUCUUUGGCGAUCCUUCUGAAAGAGGCGAUCUCUCUAGCACGGAUGACUUCCCUGGCGUGGAGGACUUCUCUGACGUGGAUGACUUCUCUGGCGUGGAGGACUUCUCUGACGUGGAUGACUUCUCUGGCGUGGAGGACUUCUCUGCAUGGAUGACUUCUCUGAUGAUGGUGACUUCUCUGAGGGGGAUGACUUCUCUGAUGGUGGUGACUUCUCUGAUGGCAUUGACUUCUCUGGCGAGUGUAUCUCUUCUGCCAUAUUCGUCCCGCCAGUGGGGUCGAUUCCUCUGAUUUGUAUUCUUUCCCUACUCUGCACAUAUUACUCCUCAUCAACCACUCCCCCCUCUAGUCUGGUUGAACCGGGUAUUCUUCGUGUUCAACCAUUGUAGUAUUGUUAAAGCUGGUGCUAUGAUGUUUUCCCUGAUCCCUGCAAGUCAUGAAGAUAUAAACACUCUAAUAUUUUACGAAAAUAAAGGUAAGUCCUGUAAGUUGCUCUCUGGUGUUUUUGUCACUCCCCCCCUGGUCUGGCUAGUUCACUUCUGGAAUAGUGCAACUAGCCAGAGGAUCCGCCCGCAUGGAUGACGUCACCUGCAUUAAAUGCCUGCCCGAUCUACAGUGCUUUUUCCCGUACCCCGAGGUUACUUUUUAGCCUUUGCGUCUUUUCGCCUUUCCGUAGGGAUUUUUAGCCGUCGAUUUAUUUCCGUAUGCCACGUGUCGUUCAUCCCGCAUAUUGGUAGUUGCCCGCGUAUAUUUUUACUUAGUCGAUUCGAACUCCCAUUUUUCACUAUUCUUCUUCUCCGGCUUUCUCAAACUUCUUCAUCUGCGAAUUCCGGCGAUUCUCCCUCCUGUUCCGGCGAUUCUCUCCCUGUUCCGGCGUAUUCUCCCGCGACCCUUCCGCUCCAGGUUUUAUCAUCAAUCUUUCUCUGGUCUAGGUAAUUCGCGUACCCUCUUCUUCCCAUAUUUGUAAUUAGUUGUAGCGCAGUAGCGUAAUUGUUGGUGCUCUGAUUGAGCGUGUUUAGAAACCCUAGGUUUUAGGUAUUUUGACAAUGGCCUCUACUUCCGCUCCCCAACCCUCGCGCUCGCCUUCUCCUCAAAAUUCUUUAUCUUCUUCUUCCCAACCCCAGGAACUCGAAAACCUUCCUUCCUCCUCUUUCUCUCACAAUUCCCAAGCUNGAGUCUUCUCGAGGCAGAGGAGAGGAAGAAGUGGCAGAGUAGAGAAGUCAAUUCUGCCAGAGCAGAGAAGCCGAGUCUUCUCGAGCAGAGGAGAGGAAGAAGUGCCAGAGCAGAGAAUUCAAGUAUGCCAGAUCAGAGAAGCCGAGUCUUCUCGAGCAGAGGAGAGGAAGAAGUGGCAGAGCAGAGAAGUCAAGUCUGCCAGAGCAGAGAAGUCGAGUCUUCUCGAGCAGAGGAGAGGAAGAAGUGGCAGAGCAGAGAAGUCAAGUGACAGAGAAGAAGAAGACGAAUAUUCAAGUACUUGAGUACGUGUGGGGAAGACAGGAGGUUCGGGAACCAAGCGGUGAACCCUGGCAUACUUAAAGAACCUAAAGAUACUAUCAAAACAAUAAAAUGAAAAUGUACAAAACCAAAAACUAAUAAGCGAAAAAAAAAUAAAGAUCUCAGUAUAAAAAAAUUAUUCUUUAUGAACCCAUUAGUGUAGAUAUUAUUAGAUCUAUGAAAAUGAAAAUUAUAAGAUAAACACACAAAAAAACUAAAGAAUGAAAAAAAUUAAAAAAAGAAAGAUAAAUAUGCAAAAAAAAUAAAGAUCUUCUGUUUUAAAAAUACAGAAGGAUGAUUAAUGCUCUAAUUGAUUUUUCAAUAUGACUUCUUUAAGUUAUUUAUAAUUUGUUCAUAAUUAUGAUUAAUUGAUUUUUGAAUAAUGAAGAAAGUUUCACCCUCCGCCCAAGAUAUUUUAACUGUUCUUUUUAUUUAUCCAAAUUUAACAAGUUUGAUGGGCGCUGUAUUGACUACAUGGUUACGAUUUUAUUUAUUAUUAUUUUAUGGGUUAUUGGCAUAUAAAUACACUAAAUUUGGACAUAUUUUGAUUUGUAACAUGAACUUUAAAAAGUGUCAACAAAUACACCAAUUUAUUUAUUGUAGUAAUUUUUAACAUGAAUUCUAUUUACUUUCAUAAAUACAAUUCGAGACACACAGUUUCCCGGCUUUUAUUUUGAGCCUCACAAUUUUUGUUUUGAUUUGCGUGAUAUAUGUAUAUGUAUUUUGUGUGGGCUUGCAUGUGCACUAAUUAAUGCUGAUAUUUAUUAUACGAAUCUUAGAGAAAGAUUUUUUUUUUAAAGUUCAAUUUUUUACUUCCAAAAUUUGUACUAUAGCCGCCAUUUCUUAGUGCCUCAAUUAAUAAAUUCUUUUGCAACUAUUUGUGAUUCAGAUGAAUAGCUUUAUAGAGCAUUUCUUAGCAGCUGAAUUAAAAAAUAGUUGUACAGAUCAUUUAUUAUGAUAGAGAAAAAAAGCAUGGUCAGACUGAAACGCAUUUAUGAUGAUAGAAAAAAAAAAAUUAUAGAGUAGCGCCUGAAUUAAAAAUUGAUUUAUGAUUUGGUUUAUGACUCGAUUGUAAAAAAAACCCAAUUUUUUCGUUUUAAAAUUGCACUGAGAUUAAUAUUUUUUUUGUAAAACUGAAUUUGAAGGAAAAUUAAGUGAAAAGCAAUGUAAAUUAUCAUAAUAGUUAAAAUGAAGGAAUUAUGAUGUGUGUGUAAUUCAUAUUGAAGGUAUUGAAGGUACUGAAUUUGAAGGAAUUUUUUUUUGUAAAACUGAAUUUGAAGGAGAAUUUCUUAACUAAAGUAUCUUAGGUAAAAUAUCAUAAUAGUUAAACUGAAUUUGAAGGAAUUUUUUUUACUGUUUGAUGGAACUCUAGAACUGUUACAAUUGUACAUAUAUAUGAAAAAAGGAUACUUAGUAUGUUAAAAAGCACAUAAGAAGAUAUAAACAAUGAUGAAUAAAAAAAAUCUUGACAGUGUUUACAAAGCCAUUUCAAAUGAAUAAAAUCAUUCUACGUGUUCACUAACAAGGGACUUAUUUUUUUGGGUUUUGGCCAAGGUACUGUUGCUGUGGUGAAAAGGUGAUAUGAAGAAGUUAAGUAAAUCUACGAAGAUAUGUGGUAAACGGAAGAAGGAAGACAUCGUCGAAUCAUGUGAGUGUAAUGUGAUUUAUUUUGAAUUCUUUUUGAAGAUAAGUGAUUACCUGCUUAUAUUAGGUAGUUGUAGAUGUAAAUGAUGAACACUACUUCUUCGAAAAUCUGCGAUAUAGAGGAUUGAAAUGUUUUUUAGUUACAUAAAUGUAGAUUUAGAUGAUUAACAUUUUUUGGAAACUCAACUUUUUUUUUUGUGGAUGUAAGAUGUGAUUCAAUGUAGUUAUGUAGAUCUAAUAUAUUCGCCGAUCUGAAUCUGUGGAAACAAAAAAUCAUUAACAAAGCAAUUUAGAAUGAAAAAAAUUUGAUACAAAUUUUUUUUAGUUAGCAUGUAGAGCGUAUACCUUUAGAUCUGCAACAACCGCUUCUUCAAAUGGAUAUCUGUAUUGUAUUCUUCUGUGAAAAAGUUGUUUUUUCAGAUUUGUAGAAUGGUAAAAAAAA